RNAcentral lists this non-coding RNA (22 nucleotides) under Arabidopsis thaliana (thale cress). The record is from RNAcentral. Lineage: Eukaryota; Viridiplantae; Streptophyta; Magnoliopsida; Brassicales; Brassicaceae.
UGAGCAACGGUCACAUGUCGCG